GAUGAACGCUGGCGGCGUGCUUAACACAUGCAAGUUGAACGAAGCACUUUAUUUGAUUUCCUUCGGGACUGAUUAUUUUGUGACUGAGUGGCGGACGGGUGAGUAACGCGUGGGUAACCUGCCUUGUACAGGGGGAUAACAGUUGGAAACGGCUGCUAAUACCGCAUAAGCGCACGGCAUCGCAUGAUGCAGUGUGAAAAACUCCGGUGGUAUAAGAUGGACCCGCGUUGGAUUAGCUAGUUGGUGAGGUAACGGCCCACCAAGGCGACGAUCCAUAGCCGACCUGAGAGGGUGACCGGCCACAUUGGGACUGAGACACGGCCCAAACUCCUACGGGAGGCAGCAGUGGGGAAUAUUGCACAAUGGGCGAAAGCCUGAUGCAGCGACGCCGCGUGAGCGAAGAAGUAUUUCGGUAUGUAAAGCUCUAUCAGCAGGGAAGAUAAUGACGGUAC
RNAcentral lists this ribosomal RNA (452 nucleotides) under uncultured bacterium. Its description in RNAcentral is "bacterial SSU rRNA". It matches the Rfam family "Bacterial small subunit ribosomal RNA", at positions 28 to 478 of the family's 1533-position model. The record is from RNAcentral.